Molecule: ribosomal RNA, 109 nt
Organism: Erinaceus europaeus (western European hedgehog)
Lineage: Eukaryota; Metazoa; Chordata; Mammalia; Eulipotyphla; Erinaceidae
Source: Ensembl
GUCUACGGCCAUUCCACCCUGAACAUACCUGAUCUCGUCUGAUCUCAGAAGCUAAGCAGGGUCGGGCCUGGUUAGUACUUGGAUGGGAGAAAUAUGGCUGCUUCUGACA